CAGCAGCCGCGGUAAUACGUAGGGUGCAAGCGUUAAUCGGAAUUACUGGGCGUAAAGCGUGCGCAGGCGGUUAUAUAAGACAGAUGUGAAAUCCCCGGGCUCAACCUGGGAACUGCAUUUGUGACUGUAUAGCUAGAGUACGGCAGAGGGGGAUGGAAUUCCGCGUGUAGCAGUGAAAUGCGUAGAUAUGCGGAGGAACACCGAUGGCGAAGGCAAUCCCCUGGGCCUGUACUGACGCUCAUGCACGAAAGCGUGGGGAGCAAACAGGAUUAGAUACCCCGGUAGUCCCUGUCUCUUAUAA
RNAcentral lists this ribosomal RNA (301 nucleotides) under uncultured bacterium. Its description in RNAcentral is "partial 16S ribosomal RNA". It matches the Rfam family "Bacterial small subunit ribosomal RNA", at positions 509 to 809 of the family's 1533-position model. The record is from RNAcentral.